This is a long non-coding RNA of Gossypium arboreum, 466 nucleotides long. RefSeq lists it as uncharacterized. The record is from RefSeq and is a predicted model, not a curated record. The transcript is spliced from 2 exons. NCBI's taxonomy places the organism in Eukaryota, Viridiplantae, Streptophyta, Magnoliopsida, Malvales, Malvaceae.
ACAUUAUUUAGAAAAACAAAAAAAAGGAGACAGAGUUUUCUUUGCUCUCUCUUCACUCCCCAUGUCCGGCGAUAGGAUUUCCCGAGGUCCAUUGCGUCGUCGUUGUGGGCCAGUGGCCGGCAUUGCGCGAAUGGAUUUCUUCAGGCGCCGAAGAGGCCAACGAAGGUGCUAUGCGACGCGUGGAAGAGGCGACGGUCAGGGGCGUGGUGGCCGAGGUGGCAUGCGCGAUGGUUCAGCAUGCGUGGGGUGAGCGGCGGCUGAAGAAAGAGGCUAGGGUUGCUGAAACAAUUUGGGUAGUUAGGCUAGGGUUAGUUUUAGGCCUAUUGGGUCUGGGCUUGUGAAAUUAUUUGUUGGGCUGUUAUAUUUUAUUUGUUUAUGGGCCCGGGCAAUAUUGAGCCUGUACAAUUUUAAUAAUAAUUGAAUUUACGGUAGAACUAAUUAUGAGUUAAAGGAGCUCAUUAAAAUA